CCCCGGUGUUGCUGAGGUUCUGCGGCUCGUAGAGGGAGCCGAUGUUGACGGUGGCGUCCUUGUCGUGCUUGCCGUCGGCGGAGGA
Molecule: transfer RNA, 85 nt
Filed under: Streptomyces sp. ADI96-15
Lineage: Bacteria; Bacillati; Actinomycetota; Actinomycetes; Kitasatosporales; Streptomycetaceae
Description: tRNA-Ser
Source: RNAcentral